Molecule: long non-coding RNA, 1259 nt
Organism: Zingiber officinale
Lineage: Eukaryota; Viridiplantae; Streptophyta; Magnoliopsida; Zingiberales; Zingiberaceae
Exons: 4
Source: RefSeq, a predicted model, not a curated record
UGCACGCCCCUUCCCCACCUCCUCCUCUUUUCUUCUCUUCUCCACCGAAGCCUUAAACCCUCUCUUCUUCUUCUUCUUCUUCUUCGUUUCUCUUCUCCAGCGGUGACGAACAACAAGGCUCUCCCUGUUCUUCUUCUCCAAGCUUGCAACCCCCUUCUCUUCUGCUUUUCUCUUCUCCAACGGCCACAAGCAACAAGUUUCUUCUUCCUUGCUGUUGUCCUGCUUCUCGGCAGCAUCGUCGGAGCUCCUCGGAGUGUGCCGGAGCUCGCCGGACCACUAGGAAAGGGGGGAAAACAAAACCCUAGUUGCUCUCUUCUUUUCCCCCACCAACAGCAGCACCUUGCUGCCUUUUGUCUUCUCCAACCAGCAGCCCUAGUUGCUGUCUUUUUCUUGACAGCACCGUCGGAGUUCGCCGGAGCUCGCCGGAGCUAGCUGAGGCGGCCAGUGACGAAGGGAAAACAAAAACCCUAAUUGCUGUCCUCAAUUCCAGUAGCCACACCAAUCUUUAGAAGACACGAGCUCGAGUGGAGCGCGGUGACCUGCCGAUACUCGAAGAUUUUUGCUGUACAUAGAACACGAGCUUGAGUGGAGCGCGGUGACCUGCCGACACUCGAAGAUUUUUGCUGUACAUAGAUUUUGCAGGCACGGGGAUCCUUUUGAUAUUAUAGUUGAUUUUGGACUUCCAUAGAGUUGCUCAGAGAUCUCGACGUGCUGAUUUUUCUGGUUUAUUUUACUUUUGUUUCGCUGUAUUUACAUUUUGAAAUUUUGUUACAGAUGUCGUUUAUUUGUAUAGUAAUUGUAGUUUACGAAAACUAUGAUAGAUAUAUAAAUUUGAUACAUUUCGUGGUUAUGUUAUUUCUAUUUUAUGUAUGUUCCAACCGUGUGGGCUGAUGAAUACGUUGUUUAUGUAUAUAUAUUGUGAUGUAUGUAUGUAUGUUUCAUAUUGUCACCCGUACAGGGGAGAUGCUGUCGGAUUUUUGUCUGGCAAGGACUCCUCUGGGGGCGUGACAUUUAGAUUUGAACUGAAAUUUGUAAGUCCGUUCACAAUUGAAAUAUUUUAAGUCUAUAAAUAGUCAUCAUCAAGUUCAGUUAGUGUUUUUGGAAUUAGAUUGGAUUAGCCGAUUAGCGGAUUUUCCCAGUUAAACUGUAAAAAUUAACAAGAAGUUGGCUAGCUAUAGUGAGAAAUACUGAACCUCAAGGCAUACUGAGGCUAAUUUGAGAAAGAAAUGAUAGUUCUGAAUAUGAAUCUCUUCGCAUCU